UGGGGAAUUUUGGACAAUGGGGGCAACCCUGAUCCAGCCAUUCCGCGUGAGUGAAGAAGGCCUUCGGGUUGUAAAGCUCUUUCAGCAGGAACGAAACGGUCGGCUUUAAUAAAGUCGGCUAAUGACGGUACCUGCAGAAGAAGCACCGGCUAACUACGUGCCAGCAGCCGCGGUAAUACGUAGGGUGCGAGCGUUAAUCGGAAUUACUGGGCGUAAAGCGUGCGCAGGCGGCGACAUAAGACAGAUGUGAAAUCCCCGGGCUCAACCUGGGAACUGCGUUUGUGACUGUGUUGCUAGAGUGUAGCAGAGGGGGGUGGAAUUCCACGUGUAGCAGUGAAAUGCGUAGAGAUGUGGAGGAACACCGAUGGCGAAGGCAGCCCCCUGGGUUAACACUGACGCUCAUGCACGAAAGCGUGGGGAGCAAACAGGAUUAGAUACCCUUGUAGUCCCUGAGCGGGCUGGCAAGGCGCAU
Molecule: ribosomal RNA, 472 nt
Filed under: uncultured bacterium
Lineage: Bacteria
Description: bacterial SSU rRNA
Rfam family: Bacterial small subunit ribosomal RNA
Source: RNAcentral